AGUGAACGCUGGCGGUAGGCCUAACACAUGCAAGUCGAACGGCAGCACAGUAAGAGCUUGCUCUUACGGGUGGCGAGUGGCGGACGGGUGAGGAAUACAUCGGAAUCUACUUUUUCGUGGGGGAUAACGUAGGGAAACUUACGCUAAUACCGCAUACGACCUACGGGUGAAAGCAGGGGAUCUUCGGACCUUGCGCGAUUGAAUGAGCCGAUGUUGGAUUAGCUAGUUGGCGGGGUAAAGGCCCACCAAGGCGACGAUCCGUAGCUGGUCUGAGAGGAUGGUCAGCCACACUGGAACUGAGACACGGUCCAGGCGCCUACGGGAGGCAGCAGUGGGGAAUAUUGGACAAUGGGCGCAAGCCUGAUCCAGCCAUACCGCGUGGGUGAAGAAGGCCUUCGGGUUGUAAAGCCCUUUUGUUGGGAAAGAAAAGCAGCAGGUUAAGACCCCGCUGUUCUGACGGUACCCAAAGAAUAAGCACCGGCUAACUUCGUG
This 492-nucleotide ribosomal RNA is filed under the name uncultured bacterium. RNAcentral's name for it is "partial 16S ribosomal RNA". It matches the Rfam family "Bacterial small subunit ribosomal RNA", at positions 29 to 507 of the family's 1533-position model. The record is from RNAcentral.